CAGUCGCCACGGGAAUACGUAGGGUGCGAGCGUUAAUCGGAAUUACUGGGCGUAAAGCGUGCGCAGGCGGUUCGUUAAGACAGAUGUGAAAUCCCCGGGCUUAACCUGGGAACUGCAUUUGUGACUGGCGAACUAGAGUAUGGCAGAGGGGGGUAGAAUUCCACGUGUAGCAGUGAAAUGCGUAGAGAUGUGGAGGAAUACCGAUGGCGAAGGCAGCCCCCUGGGCCAAUACUGACGCUCAUGCACGAAAGCGUGGGGAGCAAACAGGAUUAGAGACCCGAGUAGUCCCUGUCUCUUAUAA
Molecule: ribosomal RNA, 301 nt
Filed under: uncultured bacterium
Lineage: Bacteria
Description: partial 16S ribosomal RNA
Rfam family: Bacterial small subunit ribosomal RNA
Source: RNAcentral